GUCCACUUCUGUGUGGUGGAAGCUUUGUCCUUUGCUUCUUUAUAGCUGCUACUGCUCACUUUUUGGGUCCGUGCCAUUUGUAAGAACUGUAACACUGCCGUCUUUGAGAGCUGUAACACUGGUGGGCGCUUUGGGAGGCUGAGGUAGGUGGAUCAGGAGGUCGAGAGAUUUGCGACCAUCCUGGCUAAUACGGUGAAACCCUGUAGCCACUAAAAAUGCAAAAAGAAAAAAAAAAAGCUGGCGCGGCGUGGUGGUGGGCGCGUGUAGUCCCAGCUGCUCAGGAGGAGGAGGCAGGAGAAUGGCCGGAACGGGGGAGGCGGAGCUUGCAGUGAGCCAAGACCGCGCCACUGCCCUCUGGCGUGAGGAACAGCGGGAGACUCGGUCUCAAAAAGAAAAGAGCUGUAACACUCACCACGAAGGCCCGGCUUCGUUCUUGAAGGCAGCGAGACCACGAACACCCUGGCCGGCAGCAACUGCAGACACAUAAUCACAAGAGGACUUUCCCCAGCUGAUGGGAGAAGAGGCAGGUAGAAGAGAAGGCAGAAGGAGAAAGAGCCCAACCACAAGAAGGAACUGAAGUGCCAUCACUGGUUUGAAGACACAGAGGGCCUCACGUAGAGAAGGACAGUGGCUCUUCACCCCUAGCUGACAACCAGAAAGGAAACAAGCUCCCCAGUCCUACAACUGUAUGGAACGGAACUGUGCCGGCAUCCCGAGUAAGCACGAAAUGGGUUAUUCCUCGAGCCUUCAGAUAAAAACCCAGCCUGGCCCACACCUCAAUAUCAGCUUUGUGAGACCUUGAGCAGAGAAGCCAGUCAAGCCACCUGGACUUCUGACCUCCAGAAUGGUGAGGUGAUC
This 858-nucleotide long non-coding RNA is filed under the name Homo sapiens (human). RNAcentral's name for it is "non-protein coding lnc-TJP1-4:1". Lineage: Eukaryota; Metazoa; Chordata; Mammalia; Primates; Hominidae. The record is from RNAcentral.